RNAcentral lists this ribosomal RNA (600 nucleotides) under uncultured bacterium. RNAcentral's name for it is "bacterial SSU rRNA". It matches the Rfam family "Bacterial small subunit ribosomal RNA", at positions 95 to 709 of the family's 1533-position model. The record is from RNAcentral.
GCGGCGGACGGGUGAGUAUGUCGAACUGCUGAUGAGGGAUACUACUGAACGUAGCUAUACGAUAACGUCGCAGACAAGAGGGGACUUCGGGCCUCUGCCAUCAGAUGUGCCCAGAUGGGAUUAGCUAGUAGUGGGGUAACGGCUCACCUAGCGACGAUCCCUAGCUGGUCUGAGAGGAUGACCAGCCACACUGGAACUGAACACGGUCCAGACUCCUACGGGAGGCAGCAGUGGGGAAUAUUGCACAAUGGGCGCAAGCCUGAUGCAGCCAUGCCGCGUGUAUGAAGAAGGCCUUCGGGUUGUAAAGUACUUUCAGCGGGGAGGAAGGUGUUGUGGUUAUAACCACAGCAAUUGACGUUACCCGCAAAAAGCACGGCUACUCGUGCCAGCAGCCGCGUAUACGGAGGUGCAGCGUAUCGAAAUUACUGGGCGUAAGCGCACGCAGGCGGUCUGUCAAGUUCGGAUGUGAAAAUCCCCCGGGGCUCAACCUGGGAAACUGGCAUUCGAAAGCUUGGCAGGCUAAGUCUUUGGUACAAGGGGGGGGUAAAAAUUUCCAGGGUUUACCGGGUGAAAAUGNGUAAAAGAAUCUGGGAGGGAAAU